This is a non-coding RNA of Pelobates cultripes (western spadefoot toad), 213 nucleotides long. Lineage: Eukaryota; Metazoa; Chordata; Amphibia; Anura; Pelobatidae. The record is from the annotation of a GenBank genome assembly.
CUAGUCAACAUACAGGUAUAGCCCUCAACCAAUUAUCAUUAUUACAAUAUUAUAGUAUAUAUACGGCUAUUGCUAUUUACUUAAUUGACAGUUUAGAUAUCGAGAGGGAAGGGGAUGAGAAAAAAAAUAAAUAAAUAUUUAUAAAUUCAUGAGACAAAGAAAGACAAUAUAAACACAAAAAACCCUUCCAUAACUAUACACAUUCGAAACGAC